GGAUGUGAGGGCGAUCUGUCUGCGACAUCUGUCACCCUAUUGAUCGCCAGGAAUUGAUUCGGCUGAUCUGGCUGGCUAGGCGGUAGUCCUCUUCCUCCCUCACUGCUCCAUGUGCCUCCCUCCCGAAGCUGCGUGCUCGGUCAAAGAGGAUGACCAUCCCCACUAGAGGAGGACCGGUCUUCGGUCAAGGGUAUACAAGUAGCUGCGCUCCCCUGUUAGAACCUCCAAACAAGAUCUCAAAGUGUCAUUACUCUGUAAAUCAUGACCUUUGGCCUUCAUAAAAUACAAUCAAAAUGCUGGUGUUAAGCUUGGUGGUUAAGAUUCUG
This 326-nucleotide small nuclear RNA is filed under the name Ochotona princeps (American pika). RNAcentral's name for it is "7SK RNA (ENSOPRG00000020264.1)". It matches the Rfam family "7SK RNA". Rfam says of the family: 7SK was discovered as an abundant small nuclear RNA in the mid-70s but a possible function has only recently been suggested. Two independent studies have found that 7SK RNA binds the CDK9/cyclin T complex (known as elongation factor P-TEFb). P-TEFb activates transcription by phosphorylating the C-terminal domain of RNA polymerase II. Lineage: Eukaryota; Metazoa; Chordata; Mammalia; Lagomorpha; Ochotonidae. The record is from RNAcentral.